This is a small nucleolar RNA of Malania oleifera, 106 nucleotides long. NCBI's taxonomy places the organism in Eukaryota, Viridiplantae, Streptophyta, Magnoliopsida, Santalales, Ximeniaceae. The record is from RefSeq and is a predicted model, not a curated record.
AAUUCGUGAUGUGGACAUAUAUUCAUCAUGUCCUUGAAUCUCUCCCAGCAAGCUUGGAAGGUCUCGUCACCUUUAUGCAUGAAUUGACUAAUCUGCUCCUGCAAGU